RNAcentral lists this ribosomal RNA (472 nucleotides) under uncultured bacterium. Its description in RNAcentral is "bacterial SSU rRNA". It matches the Rfam family "Bacterial small subunit ribosomal RNA", at positions 774 to 1242 of the family's 1533-position model. The record is from RNAcentral.
AGUCAAUAGAUACCCUGGUAGUCCACGCCGUAAACGAUGAGUACUAGGUGUAGGAGGUAUCGACUCCUUCUGUGCCGCAGUUAACACAAUAAGUACUCCGCCUGGGAAGUACGGUCGCAAGAUUAAAACUCAAAGGAAUUGACGGGGGCCCGCACAAGCAGCGGAGCAUGUGGUUUAAUUCGAAGCAACGCGAAGAACCUUACCUAGACUUGACAUCUCCUGAAUAGUGUAGAGAUACAUGAAGCCCUUCGGGGCGAGGAAGACAGGUGGUGCAUGGUUGUCGUCAGCUCGUGUCGUGAGAUGUUGGGUUAAAGUCCCGCAACGAGCGCAACCCUUAUUACUAGUUGCUACCAUUAAGUUGAGCACUCUAGUGAGACUGCCCGGGUUAACCGGGGAGGAAGGCGGGGAGUGACGUCAAAUCAUCAUGCCCUUACUGUCUAGGGCAACACACGUGCUACAAUGGUGAGUACAG